UAGGAUUGCUAUCGCCACCGCCACCUUACAGCCAAGGAGACUGAAAUUAAGUACGAUGCCCUGCAUAGUGAGCGGGUCACAGUCUGGUGGAGUCCCUGAACUUCACUGCACCAUUGGAUGAAAAUCAGCAGCAGAAUGAAGAUUAGCUUGAAACAUGGCGCUGUGUCCUCGUCUGCCUUAUUACUCACUGGAUCUGGAACGGUGAGACUUCCAGCUCUUCCUCAAAGUCAGAAUGACCAUGAAAGGGAAGUAUUUGGACUUAAUUCAGGAUGUUCAGUGCUGCCGCUCCAGCGCAACUAGACACUCGCGAAAAAGGACUUUAGAGGUACUUCAGAUGGUGUGGCCAAAGCAAGCAGAAGGAUUUUGAGGGGUAUCAGUGGCAUGUCUUUUAUGGCAACAAAAGUUUUUAAUUUUUAUUUUAAAAGUCACCAUAGCUUUUGAACACACCUCAUAUAUCUAUACAUAUAUGAGUGUGCAUGUGUGCGACCAAUCAGCAGGGGAGUCUUAAUCAACCUUACAGAAAUGCCAUGCAUAAGCAAUCCAGGCAUCCACCGUGCUCCUGGGAGAGAGAGAGAGGCCCACCUGCCCCGGGAGAAGCUGCCCUUUCUUUUACUAGGCAACCCACAAUCCUUCGCGCAUGGAAUCAGCUCACCAUUUCGGGACACUGCCCUGUUAAUGACGUCCAAAGCGGGCUGUAAGCAGUGCAGGCUGGGGCUAACCCUGAAAUUGGCUGGGUUAAAAAAGUGAGUCUGGCUGAAGCCUACGUGAGUCACAGCAACACUGCAGACGGUAAACAGGGCGCGUCCUUCUGUCUUGUGAUGGUCGAACAAGGUUUUUCAAAGCCAAAAAAGCAAAGGCAACCAGGGACCUAAAUAAGAUGACGUGUACUGUACCAACAUUCUGGGUAAACACCAGCCUCGCACAACUGCUGCUUUACAGAAAUAAAAGGUGCUCCUCAGAAAAGGGAAGGAUCCAGUGGUGCAGGCCACAGGGUUGCAUUCAACUCUGAGACACAAAGACAAUGGGCAGAAAAAAAAAAUGAGAAAGUUUCAUGAGAACUAAAAAGAAAAAAAUUGAACCUCUGCAUUGGGCCAUAGCCAUAGACUUCUGUAUAGAGAAUGAUCCAUUCACGCCAAAGGCCUCAACCUUAAUUUACCGUAAUGCAAGUUCUUCAUUUUACAAAGUGUCUUUCAUCACAUUGACCUGAAAGUUCGUAAUAGGCAUCUGAAUUGAAAAUAAUUGUUCAGAAACAUGAAAGCUGGAAGCAGAAGGAGGGGGAAGAGAAGUAGACCAAACUGUUUCCUUUGAGGUUUAAUUUUGUUCACAGCACAAGGCAGCGUCAGUGCCUGCUUUCCUGCAUGCUUUCUGGUUUGCAGAAACUACCUGGAAAGUGGAAUUUCAGUGGAACGCAUACACAAUGCACCCUGAGUCUCUUUAGGUGGUGUAUCUUGUGGAUUCACAGGGUCCUCAGAAAUGUGCUCUGCAAGGCCCUUCUAGACAUAGGUCCUGGACCACUUGGCUCGCUCCUGAUCCACUGUGUCUACAACUGGGUCGGUCUGAAGGGUAUCUAGGCUGAGGCAUUGCGGGUGCCUUAGUGGGCUUUGUAGCACUGCCCAUGUCUAUGGUAAAAUAAAAGUGGGACAAAGAUCUAAAUAUUAAAACAAAACCACUUAACCUGCUAGAAGAUAAGAUAGGUGGACCUCUUGAUGUCACACCUGUGGGCAAAGACUUUCUGAACAGAGCCCAACUGCACAGAAAUAACAUGAGCAUCAGCAAAUGGGAUUCUCUCCAAUUAAAAAGCUUCUGUACUACAAAGGAAACAAAGAAGAGU
Fukomys damarensis (Damara mole-rat) is the source of this 1831-nucleotide long non-coding RNA. RefSeq lists it as uncharacterized. The record is from RefSeq and is a predicted model, not a curated record. NCBI's taxonomy places the organism in Eukaryota, Metazoa, Chordata, Mammalia, Rodentia, Bathyergidae. The transcript is spliced from 4 exons.